Canis lupus familiaris (dog) is the source of this 4151-nucleotide long non-coding RNA. RefSeq lists it as uncharacterized. The record is from RefSeq and is a predicted model, not a curated record. The transcript is spliced from 6 exons. Lineage: Eukaryota; Metazoa; Chordata; Mammalia; Carnivora; Canidae.
UGUUUGCUCUAAUCCUUCUGGCAAGUAGUUUCCUCACACACAUGCGCUGAGCACUCACUGCUUUGCUCAGGCUCUCUCUCCCUCUGCCUCUCUCCCACCUCCAGAUCUCUGGAGCGCUCACAGUGCAGCCCACUCCUCUCCGGUGCUCUGUCCCUAGAAUGCCAGCUGCCAUGGUCACCCCAGACCCUCAGCUCCAUCUCUUUGCCUCAGGGCAUCUGUCAGGCUCUGCUGCAGUGCCUCUUCUUGGGCUGCAGCUCAGAAGCUCUCCAGGCAGACAGCUAGGACAGUGUAGGGCACAGGGAGCAGUGUAAAUCAGGUCCUUAUUACUACUUGUCGGCCAGGGCCAGAAGCAUCCCGAGAUGCUCAGCAAACAUCUAAGUGGAAAUGUUGAGAAGAUGGCUAGACAGGCUUAUCUGGAAUUCAGGGAAGAAGUCCAGACUGGGAGAACAGAUUUGGAAGUCUUCAGCAGAUCCAUAAGCAUGGCUGAGAUCACCACCGAGUGUGGAUCUGAGAGAAGACCAAAGACCAAGCCGCAGAUCACUUCGAAGUUUAGAAGGUGGUGAGCUGAGGAGGGCCCUGGAGAGAAGACUGAGACAGAGUGACCAACGAAACAGGAGAAACAAGAGGCUGUGACGGCAAAAAGCCUAAGGAGGAAAGUGCACAGAGAUGAGUGGAACCACAUUGGAGGUGUCUGAUUGGUCAGGUAUAAAUUGCGGUUUGGAAGACUAAUGUUAAAAAUUAUCUGAAUGGUAAGAAUUAAUGCUUAUUUAUUUUGUUUACCGGUAUUUUCUACAGUGUCUAGUUUACUUCUAUAAUUUAAAUAAUGUUUUUAUUUGAGAGCAAGUGAGCAGGAGAGCACAAGGAGGGGGAACAGCAGAGGGAGAGGAAAAAGCAGACUCCCCACUGAGCAGACCCCAGGACCCCGGGAUCAUGACCUGAGCCGAAGGCAGAUGCUUCACCAACUGAGCCACUGAGGUGCCCGUAUUUAUUGUAGUUUUAUGGUUUUAUUAACACAAAUAUGAUGUGCACAUAAGCCGUCUGUUCAUUUUCUUCGCUGUGCAGCGUGGUAUUGGAUGGGGACUCUGAUGGCCAGCUGGGCUGCUCUUCCCACAGUGGCUUUGUGGUUCUUGGAGGAGACGCUGUGAACAAUCUCUGCACAGUGAGAUCUGUUGCAAAGAGCAGCACCUCAAGCUCCUGGACGCUGUGGACUGGCAACUUCCAGAAGCCACCGAGCAGCACGGGCUUUGUUUCCCUGUUGCUCCCGUAACCAGUGUUGGGCAUCAAGAUGUGGCCCCUGAAUCUUCUGCGCACCCUAUUGUCAGUGCCCUGGGUUGCUGCCGUUGCACUUCAUUGCGACAUGUGGAUGUCUGAUUAUUGCGGAUGAACCACUUGGUCCUCUUUUUAGCCAUCCUGGGCUUCACCAGAGGUCUGAGGGCGGCCGUGACGCCCAGUAACAGAUGGCUGCCCCCUCCGCAGGCAGCCCCGAGGAAGAGAGGGGCCAAGAAGUUAUUUUUAAAUAGCAUUUGGCAUGAAAAUAAGCAAUGGAGGGAGGGGUGCCUGGCUGGCUCAGUGGGAGGAAUAUGCAAUUCUUGAGUUGGGGGUUGUGAGUUCGAGUCCCACGUUGGGUCCAGAGAUUACUUAAAAAUGAAAUCUUAAAAAAAAUUGAGGGAAACUGCUAACAAAUUAAAUGCUUAAUAAAAGAGGAUUGGCUGAUGAAGUCAGUUCAUGGAGUUAUUACGUACAGUGAAUGAAUUCAGUAAACACGUGCGGGCACUGUUUUGAGCACUAGGGAGCUCUGUGGCCAUUCUGUGUUGUCCGUGUGAAAAGGAGAGGGAGUGGUGUGAGAAAGAAGGACGGUCUUGGGCUGGGCAGGUGGCAGGUGCCCUGUCUCUUGCCGCUGGGAGCCUCCUCUCUUGGGUCCCCCCUGGAGGCCUCUGACUUGCGCGCGCCCCUAGCGGCUGGCCGAGCGCCUGCUGCAAGGUCUUCCCGGGGCGCGGGUUCCUGGCACUGGCUCAGCUGCACCCCCGUCAUUCUUUCCAGAGCCUUCCGGGACCCAGCCCAGCCGGUGACAGCCCAGCGCCUUCCAGGCUGAAAAGGGGGCCGGGAAAGGCGCCCCAGGCACCGGGAGCCGCCUGGGUUGGCAUCUGUCCGAUUUACUUCUUAAUCCAGAAAAUCACUUCCAGUUGUGUGUGACCUUCUCCCUGGGCCAGGACCUGACAACUACAGGGGGAGGGGCAGAGGGAGAGAAUCUCUGAGCGCAGAGCCCCAGGAGAAGCAGAGGCUGUCUCAUGACCUUGAGCUCAUGACCUGAGCUGACAUCAGGAGUCGGGGGCCCUCAGCCAAGGGAGCCACCAAGGCGCCCCUGGAAAGCAGGCAAGACCCAGAGCCGCCCCUGAACCCCACCAGCUGUGGAGAACCAGAGCACAGGACAGGGGCUCCCCAACUGGGUCUCCAUCUGGUGGCUUCCCGAAGGGAUCAGUCCUGGGAGGCUGCUGCGUCGGGCACCCCACGGGGGCAGAGGUGGCCCAGGACGGCUUGGUCUGGAGGAUGAACAGAGGGAAGCCUGCCCGGACUUAUGACACCUGGAGUUGUAAACACCCGUUGUGACCUGCCUGGACCCACACACGGCUGGAGGUGACCACCUCUCCCUGCCCUCGCCCUCCUCGGACUCCCAGUUCCUGAGUUUUCCACUCUGGGGGACCAAGAGAGCAGCCCCGGUGAGUGGGAGAUUGGAGGUCUGGGGGGUCAGAGGGCCCUGGCUUCAAGCCCUGGCUCCGGCACCCACAUUUGGGGACAUUUGAGCAUAAGCUGCUGGGCAUGAGCUGUCGCCUCUCCGUGCCUCAGUCUCUGUAUCUGCAAAAUGGACAGGAGCUCCGGUGCAGGUGCAGGCCAGCAGAGCACAGGGAAGUCCGUGAGCGUCGGGGGGCUCUGUUCCUUCUUGGCCUGGCGUGCAGCCACCCCCCCGGCCCCCCCAGCUCGCAGCAGCCCGGCUCUGCAGUCCCGUCCGUCCCUUUAACAUUGUCUCGAGUCCUCUCUCAGCCAGGACGGGAUGUUUCCCUUCUGCCUCUCUCCUCGCUCUCCUAUUCCCGUGGUGGGUCCCAGCGCUUUCCUUACCCUGCAGCUCAGGUGUGCUGCACAAGCGGCCGCCGGCGGAGGGCUGUUCAGGGGUUGGCGGAGGGGGGCUCUUGUGGGCCGAGCGGGUCCCUGCCCCCGGUCAGUCCCGGGGGAAGUUCGAACCCUCAGUGAAACUCAGAAUGUGACACUAUUUGGAGACAGGGUCGUUAAGGAGGUGGUGAGGGUGGAAUGAGGUCACCGGGGUGGGCCCCAAUGUCGUGUGGCCGGGGCCCUCGUAAGAAGAGGAGACGGGACGCAGACACACACAGCGGGAGGACCACGUGAGGACACAGGGGCAGACGGCCAUCCUCAGGCCAAGGACAGAGGCCUGUGGAGAAACCAAGCCUGAUGACACCUUGACCUUGGACUUCAGCCGCCAGGACUGAGAGGGACAGCGCCCUGUCUGCUGUCCAGGUGGCGGUUCCGCGAUCCGAGAGGACAGCAACCUCGCGGGUCGGCGUGGCCCCCCCAAGACCAGGCCAAAGCCAGAUCCCAGGCCACCUCCAACGACGCCUUGAAAGGGACGGAGGUCUUUCCUAAGUGUGUUCUCUGUGGAGCCGGAGAGAAAGCAUCCUGAAGCCUCUUUCCUCGCACCCUCUCGAGCCCCGAUGACUGCGUGUCGUCCUCCUGCACGCGAGCUCCCUCGCCGCUCCCCAGACACACGCGCCAGGCCUCUGGCCACCAGCCUCCCCCUCGGAGCUGCGGCAGCACCCGGGGCCGGGGCCAGGGCGCGUGACCCCCAGGCCAUCCUGCCAACUACGGAAAACCGUGCAGGAGACAGAGAAGGAGAAGCCGGUUAAAGUCACGCGGUGGGUCGGGCCGGUCGUUCCCAGCAGCCCGCGUCCCCGUUGUGGUCUCGCGUGGCUCUCCCUGCCACAGAGUCCCGUCCCCGCGGUCGUGCUGUGGCCUGGUCACCGCUCCUGGGGGUCCUACCGCACGACCUUCCCCAGGUGGGAGGGCCCGGGGAGGUGCUCACACAUGCACUCACCCCCACUCACCCCCACCCCACACUCACCUGUACACACUCACCCACACCC